This 215-nucleotide transfer RNA is filed under the name Pneumocystis jirovecii. RNAcentral's name for it is "tRNA-Pseudo(TTT)". The record is from RNAcentral. Lineage: Eukaryota; Fungi; Ascomycota; Pneumocystomycetes; Pneumocystales; Pneumocystaceae.
UAAAGUUUUUUUAAGAUAUUUUAAAAAAUAAUUUUUUAAAUAUUCAAUAUUUUUUUAUCCUUAAAUAUAUAAUAUUAAAUAUACUAAUAUUAAUUUAUAUAAAAAUCUAUAAAUAAAAUCAGUAACCUUAAUAUAAAGUAGUUAAUAUAAAAAUUAUUUAAUAUAUUUUAAAAUAUUUUUUAUUUUUUAAAAUAAUUAAAUUUUACUAAUUUUUA